CUCUUGAGCUCUUGUGGUGACCUGGGAAUCAAUGUGUGAGGUGGUGCUAUGUAGCAGGAACCCCUCUUGCUUUGCAAAUAGUUUUUUGUUUGUUUUCCUUUUUGCCCAAUAGAGCCCUGCUCUACUGACCCUUCAAUGUGCCCGUGUGCCUAAAUAUUCCUGGUCGUGUGAAAAGAACCCAGGUAUUAGCUGAACUAAGGAGCACAAUUCUGCAACAUUUUGGCACCCAAACACGGGGCUUGAGAAAUGAAUGCAAUUGGAGAAACUGGUUGUUUUACCAGGCGUUGAUUGGAAAUGUGUGCUUCCCUUUAAGCAGUCAAGCUCAACUUGCAGAACUGAUGGGAACCCCUUGGGAAAACUGGCCUCAAAUGUUUGUCUACACAGUCCACAUACAGGGUUCUUAACCUGCGAUUGAAACUCCCACAACUUUGGCAGACCAACUCCUCAGAAAACAUUAUUCUUUGACAUCAAUAUGUUUUGCACAAAAUUGAAUGGCAAGUGAAAGGCAUCAAAUGCAUAUUUAACUAUCCGGCUAUUUUGGAGAUUGAAAAAAGAAGACCUGAUUUAUCAUGUGCAAUAUCUCACACAUCUGUCAUUUCUAUUCUACCGCAAUUCGAUGGAGUCUUGUUCUGUGGUCCAGGCUAGAGGGCAGUGGCAUGAUCUCGGCUCACUACAAGCUCUGCCUCCCGGGUUCACGCCAUUCUCCUGCCUCAGCCUCCUGAGUAGCUGGGACUACAGGCGCCCGCCACCACGCCUGGCUAAUUUUUUGUAUAUUUACUAGAGAUGGCUAGUGUUAGCCAAGAUGGUCUCGAUCUCCUGACCUCGUGAUCUGCCCACCUCAGCCUGCCAAAGUGCUGGGAUUACUGGCGUGAGCCACCGUGCCUGGCCAGCAUCCUCUAAUUAUUAUUCAUAGUUUGUGAAUUUAGGCCUACGUGAAUAAUAAUAUAAUAUUUACUAUGAUGUUACUAUCUACCAACCUUAUUUUUCUUUUCUAUAAAAUAGGAGCCAAAAUAAUAUUUAUGUCAUACCUUAUGAAGUUAAAAUAAAAUAUAACGAAUGAGGGGCUUAACAAU
RNAcentral lists this long non-coding RNA (1073 nucleotides) under Homo sapiens (human). RNAcentral's name for it is "p53 upregulated regulator of p53 levels". Lineage: Eukaryota; Metazoa; Chordata; Mammalia; Primates; Hominidae. The record is from RNAcentral.